This 376-nucleotide ribosomal RNA is filed under the name uncultured bacterium. RNAcentral describes it as "bacterial SSU rRNA". It matches the Rfam family "Bacterial small subunit ribosomal RNA", at positions 524 to 898 of the family's 1533-position model. The record is from RNAcentral.
UACGUAGGGUGCGAGCGUUAAUCGGAAUUACUGGGCGUAAAGCGUGCGCAGGCGGUUAUAUAAGACAGAUGUGAAAUCCCCGGGCUUAACCUGGGAACUGCGUUUGUGACUGUAUAACUUGAGUGUGGCAGAGGGGGGUGGAAUUCCACGUGUAGCAGUGAAAUGCGUAGAGAUGUGGAGGAACACCGAUGGCGAAGGCAGCCCCCUGGGUCAACACUGACGCUCAUGCACGAAAGCGUGGGGAGCAAACAGGAUUAGAUACCCUGGUAGUCCACGCCCUAAACGAUGCGAACUAGGUGUUGGGGAAGGAGACUUUCUUAGUACCGCAGCUAACGCGUGAAGUUCGCCGCCUGGGGAGUACGGUCGCAAGAUUAAA